RNAcentral lists this ribosomal RNA (492 nucleotides) under uncultured bacterium. RNAcentral's name for it is "partial 16S ribosomal RNA". It matches the Rfam family "Bacterial small subunit ribosomal RNA", at positions 29 to 507 of the family's 1533-position model. The record is from RNAcentral.
AGUGAACGCUGGCGGUAGGCCUAACACAUGCAAGUCGAACGGCAGCACAGUAAGAGCUUGCUCUUACGGGUGGCGAGUGGCGGACGGGUGAGGAAUACAUCGGAAUCUACUUUUUCGUGGGGGAUAACGUAGGGAAACUUACGCUAAUACCGCAUACGACCUACGGGUGAAAGAAGGGGAUCUUCUGACCUUGCGCGAUUGAAUGAGCCGAUGUCGGAUUAGCUAGUUGGCGGGGUAAAGGCCCACCAAGGCGACGAUCCGUAGCUGGUCUGAGAGGAUGAUCAGCCACACUGGAACUGAGACACGGUCCAGACUCCUACGGGAGGCAGCAGUGGGGAAUAUUGGACAAUGGGCGCAAGCCUGAUCCAGCCAUACCGCGUGGGUGAAGAAGGCCUUCGGGUUGUAAAGCCCUUUUGUUGGGAAAGAAAAGCAGCGGGUUAAUACCCCGCUGUUCUGACGGUACCCAAAGAAUAAGCACCGGCUAACUUCGUG